GAUGAACGCUAGCGGGAGGCCUAACACAUGCAAGCCGAGCGGUAUUGUUUCUUCGGAAAUGAGAGAGCGGCGUACGGGUGCGGAACACGUGUGCAACCUGCCUUUAUCUGGGGGAUAGCCUUUCGAAAGGAAGAUUAAUACUCCAUAACAUAUUGAUUGGCAUCAAUUAAUAUUGAAAGCUCCGGCGGAUAGAGAUGGGCACGCGCAAGAUUAGCUAGUUGGUGAGGUAACGGCUCACCAAGGCGAUGAUCUUUAGGGGGCCUGAGAGGGUGAUCCCCCACACUGGUACUGAGACACGGACCAGACUCCUACGGGAGGCAGCAGUGAGGAAUAUUGGUCAAUGGGUGCAAGCCUGAACCAGCCAUCCCGCGUGAAGGACGACUGCCCUAUGGGUUGUAAACUUCUUUUGUAUAGGGAUAAACCUACCCUCGUGAGGGUAGCUGAAGGUACUAUACGAAU
RNAcentral lists this ribosomal RNA (459 nucleotides) under Bergeyella sp. oral taxon 422. RNAcentral's name for it is "bacterial SSU rRNA". It matches the Rfam family "Bacterial small subunit ribosomal RNA", at positions 28 to 487 of the family's 1533-position model. The record is from RNAcentral. Lineage: Bacteria; Pseudomonadati; Bacteroidota; Flavobacteriia; Flavobacteriales; Weeksellaceae.